CGGGUUGACUCGUGCAGCAAUACUUCUCAGGAAAACCACCUCUGGUGAUGAGAUAUAAUUGGCAACCACUUUUCUAGAUAGAGCAAGUAUGUAACUUCUCAUGCUCAAAUCGUGUUGUGUGAAAAAUGCAUCAUGCUGAACAUUCAACCACAUGCCUGAUGGUUUUAGUGCAGCCACAUUCUCAACUUGCUGGAUUGGAGACAAGCCAUCAAAUUUGUUAGGUCGAGAAUAGACACCCUGGGUAUAGACUACAGAUGAUAAA
Molecule: unclassified non-coding RNA, 262 nt
Filed under: Hevea brasiliensis (rubber tree)
Lineage: Eukaryota; Viridiplantae; Streptophyta; Magnoliopsida; Malpighiales; Euphorbiaceae
Source: RNAcentral